UGCAGUCGAGCGGAGAAAUGGGAGCUUGCUCCCAUUUCUCAGCGGCGGACGGGUGAGUAACACGUGGGCAACCUGCCCUGCAGACUGGGAUAACUCCGGGAAACCGGAGCUAAUACCGGGUAAUACAUAGCAUCGCAUGAUGCAAUGUUGAAAGUUGGCCUUUGGCUAACACUGCAGGAUGGGCCCGCGGCGCAUUAGCUAGUUGGUAAGGUAACGGCUUACCAAGGCCACGAUGCGUAGCCGACCUGAGAGGGUGAUCGGCCACACUGGGACUGAGACACGGCCCAGACUCCUACGGGAGGCAGCAGUAGGGAAUCUUCCGCAAUGGACGAAAGUCUGACGGAGCAACGCCGCGUGAGUGACGAAGGCCUUCGGGUCGUAAAGCUCUGUUGUUAGGGAAGAACAAGUACCGUUCGAAUAGGGCGGUACCUUGACGGUACCUAACCAGAAAGCCACGGCUAACUACGUGCCAGCAGCCGCGGUAAUACGUAGGUGGCAAGCGUUGUCCGGAAUUAUUGGGCGUAAAGCGCGCGCAGGCGGUCUCUUAAGUCUGAUGUGAAAGCCCACGGCUCAACCGUGGAGGGCCAUUGGAAACUGGGGGACUUGAGUGCAGAAGAGGAGAGUGGAAUUUCCACGUGUAGCGGUGAAAUGCGUAGAUAUGUGGAGGAACACCAGUGGCGAAGGCGGCUUUUCUGGUCUGUAACUGACGCUGAGGCGCGAAAGCGUGGGGAGCAAACAGGAUUAGAUACCCUGGUAGUCCACGCCGUAAACGAUGAGUGCUAGGUGUUGGGGGGUUCCACCCUCAGUGCUGAAGUUAACACAUUAAGCACUCCGCCUGGGGAGUACGACCGCAAGGUUGAAACUCAAAGGAAUUGACGGGGGCCCGCACAAGCAGUGGAGCAUGUGGUUUAAUUCGAAGCAACGCGAAGAACCUUACCAGGUCUUGACAUCCUCUGCCACUCCUAGAGAUAGGACGUUCCCCUUCGGGGGACAGAGUGACAGGUGGUGCAUGGUUGUCGUCAGCUCGUGUCGUGAGAUGUUGGGUUAAGUCCCGCAACGAGCGCAACCCUUGAUCUUAGUUGCCAGCAUUCAGUUGGGCACUCUAAGGUGACUGCCGGUGACAAACCGGAGGAAGGUGGGGACGACGUCAAAUCAUCAUGCCCCUUAUGACCUGGGCUACACACGUGCUACAAUGGACGGUACAAAGGGCAGCGACACCGCGAGGUGAAGCGAAUCCCAUAAAGCCGUUCUCAGUUCGGAUUGCAGGCUGCAACUCGCCUGCAUGAAGCCGGAAUUGCUAGUAAUCGCGGAUCAGCAUGCCGCGGUGAAUACGUUCCCGGGCCUUGUACACACCGCCCGUCACACCACGAGAGUUUGUAACACCCGAAGUCGGUGAGGUAACCUUUUGGAGCC
Molecule: ribosomal RNA, 1413 nt
Filed under: Bacillus sp. (in: firmicutes)
Lineage: Bacteria; Bacillati; Bacillota; Bacilli; Caryophanales; Bacillaceae
Description: bacterial SSU rRNA
Rfam family: Bacterial small subunit ribosomal RNA
Source: RNAcentral